This is a long non-coding RNA of Clupea harengus (Atlantic herring), 324 nucleotides long. RefSeq lists it as uncharacterized. NCBI's taxonomy places the organism in Eukaryota, Metazoa, Chordata, Actinopteri, Clupeiformes, Clupeidae. The transcript is spliced from 4 exons. The record is from RefSeq and is a predicted model, not a curated record.
UCCAGGGCACGUAGAGCCGCCGUAGAUAACCACUAACCGGCCUUCUUCGGAAGAGGGAACGCGGGCUGCUAAGAACAAAGACAAGUUUAGAAAGAAAUUCUGUCCGUUUUAGUUAUAUACUUACUUUAUUUAAAUAUGUCAGACAAAGGAGACGUAGAUCUAACUGGGGCCAAACAAAAUACUGGAGUCUGGCUUGUGAAAGUUCCUAAAUACCUCGCUCAGCAGUGGGCCAAAUCAACAGGCAGGGGCGAUGUGGGGAAACUGCGCAUUUCAAAGAACCAGGGGAAAGCAGAGGUCUCCUUCACCCUAAAUGAGGAGCUGACC